CCCCAUGUGAGGCGGGACUACCCGCUGAAUUUAA
RNAcentral lists this ribosomal RNA (34 nucleotides) under Campanula versicolor. RNAcentral describes it as "partial 28S ribosomal RNA". The record is from RNAcentral. Lineage: Eukaryota; Viridiplantae; Streptophyta; Magnoliopsida; Asterales; Campanulaceae.